This 2961-nucleotide long non-coding RNA is filed under the name Homo sapiens (human). RNAcentral's name for it is "ENTPD1 antisense RNA 1". Lineage: Eukaryota; Metazoa; Chordata; Mammalia; Primates; Hominidae. The record is from RNAcentral.
UGCCGCCCCUGGCCUGCCAGGACCCAGAGGGAGCGGAGCACGCGCCUUUGGGAAUCUUCGGUGCGCCAAGUCUGUUCGCCGCCGGGGUCUAUCACCCCCGCCCCUCGCCUCUGCCCGUGAGCGUGUGAGUUGUAGCGUACCCUGGGGUCUGUUCUGGAGGAGGCCUGAGAGCGGGGUUGCCUGGGGCGUGGGUCUCUCAUCCCUCUCGUCCUGGUGAAGAAGAAGAGUAUACCCAGCGGAAUGGCCUGUCCAGAAGACAGCCAAAUACAUCCUUCAAACAGACUUCACUGCAGGAGACAGAGUGGAUUCAUCCUGUAUUCUCCAUGUAGACUUCCAUCUUCAUGAGUACUCCAAGAAGAUGGUUCAGUUGACUAUUGCAAAGUCUCAGGUAUGUCUUUAUCAGCAGCAUGAAAAUGGACUAAUAGUACCAGUAGAGUGGGGCAUUGCUGAAAAGAUACCCGAAAAUGUGGAAGCAACUUUGGAACUGGGUGUUGAAAUAAUCUGGAGGGCUCAGAAGAAGAUAGGAAAAUGUAGGAAAGUUUGGAACCUCCUAGAGACUGUGAAUGGCAUUGACAAAAAUACUGAUAGUGAUAUGAACAAUAAGGUCCAGGCUGAGGUGGUCUCAGAUGGAGAUGAAGACCUUGUUGGGAACUGAAGUAAAGGUGACCCUUGUUAUGUUUUAGCAAGGAGACUGGCAGCAUUUCACCCUUGCCCUAGAGAUUUGUGGAACUUAGAGCUUGAGAGAGAUGACUUAGGGUAUCUGGUGGAAUAAAUUUCUAAGCAGCAAAGCAUUCAAAAGGUGACUUGGGUGCUGUUAAAAACAUUCUGUUUUAAAAGGGAAACAAGAGCAUAAAUGUGGAAAAUCUGCAGCCUGAUGAUGCAGUAGAAAAGAAAAACCCAUUUUUUUUAAGGAGAAAUUCAAGCUGGCUGCAGAAAUUUGCAUAAGCAGCAAGGAGCCUAAUGUUAAUCCCCAAGACCAUGGGGAAAAUGUCUCCAGGUCAUGUCAGAGACCUUCAUGGCAGCCCCUCCCAUCACAGGCCCAGAGGCCCAGGAGGAAAAAGUGGUUUUGUGGGCUGGGCCCAGGGUCUCUGUGCUGUGUGCAGCCUAGGGACUUGGUGCCCUGUGUCCCAGCUGCUCCAGCCAUGGCUGAAAGGAGCCAACAUAGAGCUUGGGCUGUGGCUUCAGAGGGUAGAGGCCCCAAGCAUUGGCAGCUUCCAUGUGAUGUUGAGCCUGUGGGUGCAGAGAUGUCAAGAAUUGAGAUUUGGGAACCUCUGCCUAGAUUUCAGAAUAUAUAUGGAAACACCUGGAUGUCCAGGCAAAAGUUUGCUGCAGGGGCAGAGCCCUCAUGGGGAACCUCUCCUAGGGCAGUGUGGAAGGGAAAUGUGGGGCAGAGCCCCCACACAGAGUCCCUGUUGGGGCACUGCCUAGUGGAGCUGUGAGAAGAAGGCCACAGUCCCAGAACGGUAGACCCCAGAAUGGUAGACCCCAGAAUGGUAGAUCAACCACCAACUUGCAUCUUGUGCCUGGAAAAGCUACAGACACUCAACAUCAGCCUGAGAAAGCAGCCAGGAGGGAGGCUGUACUCUGCAAAGCCACAGGGGCGGAGCUGCACAAGACCAUGGGAACCUAUCUCUUGCAUCAGCAUGACCUGAAUGUGAGACAUGGAGUCAAAGGAGAUCAUUAUGGAGCUUUAAAAUUUGACUGCCCCACUGGAUUUCAGACUUGCAUGGACCCUGUAACCCCUUUGUUUUGGCCAAUUUCUCUCAUUUGGAACAGCUGUAUUUACCCAAUACCUGUACCCCCCAUUGUAUCUAGGAGGUAACUAGCUUGCUUUUACAGGCUUGUAAGUGGAAGGGACUUGCCUUGUCUCAGAUGAGACUUUGGACUGUGGACUUUUGGGUUAAUGCUGAAAUGAGUUAAGACUUUGGGGAACUGUUGGGAAGGAAUGAUUGGUUUUGAAAUGUGAGGAUUAUGAAAUUUGGAGGAGCCCAGGGAGGAAUGAUAUGGUUUGGCUGUGUCCCCACCCAAAUCUCAACUUGAAUUGUAUCUCCCAGAAUUCCCACAUGUUGUGGGAGGGACGCAGUGGGAGGUAAUUGAAUCAUGGAGGCCAGUCUUUUCUGUGCUAUUCUCGUGAUAAUAAGUCCCACAAGAUCUGGUGGGUUUAUGAAGAGUUUCUGCUUUUGCUUCUUCCUCAUUUUGCUCUUGAUGCCACCACGUAAGAAGUACCUUUUGCCUCCCACCUGAUUUUGAGGCCUCCCCAGCCAUGUGGAACUGUAAGUCCAAUUAAACCCUUUUUGUUUCCAGUCUCAGAUAUGUCUUUAUCAGCAGCAUGGAAACGAACUAAUACAAUCAUAGUUUUUAAAAACCAAUCUAAAUGUAACUAUUGAACAUGAUUAGCUGUUUCAUCCCUAGUAGAGUGACAGAAGGAAACAUCCAUAGACAGGAGUAAUAAGAAACCAGCUAAACUUCUAAACCAUUUUUAAAGGAUGCGUGUGAGCUGGCAUAACCUACCUACUCUUUCCUAUGGGCCUCUACUGAGAGCAUGGAGGUAAUACAUCUAAUACACUGAAGACCAGGGCAAGAGAGCUGGAAGAAAUCCCUCUUAAGCACUCCAGGCCUUCACUGAGUAUGAGGUGCUGGUCUCCAAAGGCAGAGGGCAAGGCAAGGCAGAGAGGGAUCUCCUGGGGCACAGACAACUGACAAAAGAAACACUUGGAUUGUUGUAUAAGAGGAGUGAGCUUUGUAAAUACCACGUUAGCUGGCCUGCUGUGGAACAGAAUGCCUGUGAAUGACAGUAGUCAGGUAGUGGAUGAACACUGAUCUGAGAGCCUGUAAAAGAAACUCUUUGGAAUGAUAAUGUCAUCUAGACCUUUGAUACGCAAAGUGUGAUUCCUGGACAGAUGUAUUGGCUUUACCUGGCAGCUUGUUGGAAAUGUAAAACCUCAGGCCUCACCCCAGACC